Limulus polyphemus (Atlantic horseshoe crab) is the source of this 1306-nucleotide long non-coding RNA. RefSeq lists it as uncharacterized. The record is from RefSeq and is a predicted model, not a curated record. NCBI's taxonomy places the organism in Eukaryota, Metazoa, Arthropoda, Merostomata, Xiphosura, Limulidae. The transcript is spliced from 2 exons.
UUUUAGACUGAAAUUAUUUUAAUAGAAUAGAUAACGUAUCAUAUUUAAGGAAAUAUGUAUUAUCACAUUUAGUGUAACAAUGUUUACAGUAAGGUCAUUGAAGGUUUAGGUAUUAUCACAUUUAGUGUAACAAUGUUUACAGUAAGGUCAUUGAAGGUUUAGGUAUUAUUAUAUCUAGUGUAACAAUGUUUACAGUAAGGUCAUUGAAGGUUUAGGUAUUAUCACAUUUAGCCUUACAAUGUUUACAGUAAGGUCAUUGAAGGUUUAGGUAUUAUUAUAUCUAGUGUAACAAUGUUUACAGUAAGGUCAUUGAAGGGUUAGGUAUUAUUAUAUCUAGUGAAACAAUGUUAACAUAUGGUCAAGUCCCAGAAAGGUACUUAUUAUUAUCUGUAAUGGUGAAACAGACAAUGUUACAGCAAGGCUGGGAAUGCAGUAAGAAACAAAGGUAUAAAAUCUUGAAAACGGUUUGGAAUUAUUAAAACAAGUAGAAACAUAACAUUUAUGAUGCAUCUGGAUUAUUCCUCUAACUUAAAUAUACAAAUGUCGACAAAACAGUACAACGAAUAUUUAUACACUGAACAAAUAGUCCGAGUCAUCGUUAUAAUGACACUUUUCCUCUACUGUAUAGCAAUAGCUACAACUUUGGACUCUUCAAAAAAUAAUAAAACGCAUAACUUUUUUUGUUUGUUUUAGUGCUGUGCUUUCAGACAAUACAUUAUCAGAAACAAACCCUUGUAAUAUUAGUUUUUGUAUGACAUAGUGAAAACUGGAGGAGAGAAGUUCCAGAAUAAAACAGGUUGUGACCGGCUUAUAUUGAAAAUGUAAGCCUUAACGUUGGUAAUAAAUCGCUUACUAUGGAGUUUUAUGGCAUAUUUCAACUUAUUACAGUUUUAAGACUCUGUGGUUGCCAUGCAACAGCAUUAGUAAAGGAGAAGUUGGUGCGUUUACAAAUGAAAAUGUGAAACUAAUGUUUGUAUUAAAUAUAAUAACAUGAGACGUAAUGUGUUCAUUUUGUGUUUCGAAACGUUUGUUAGAUUUAGACAGACUCUCAGGGUUAAUUCCUAACCGCUGUACGUGAUAGGAUUACGAAGGUAUGUGAGUUGGGCUUUCUUAGUCUCUAAACAUUAUGCGAAGAGGUUUGAACUAUGCAGAAAGACUUAUUAUGUUAAGCCCUAAUCACUAUACAAAGAGAUUUGAGUUAGACAAGAAUAUAUAUGGACUUAAUAUGUUUCCUAAUCACUAUACAAAAAGAUUUGAGUUAGACAAGAAUAUAUAUGGACUUAAUAUGUUUCCUAAUCACUAUACA